GAUCAGGUGGCCGAGUGGUUAAGGCGAUGGACUGCUAAUCCAUUGCUUUCCCCGCGUGAGUUCGAAUCUCAUCCUGAUCG
This 80-nucleotide transfer RNA is filed under the name Anisakis simplex (herring worm). It matches the Rfam family "tRNA". Rfam says of the family: Transfer RNA (tRNA) molecules are approximately 80 nucleotides in length. Their secondary structure includes four short double-helical elements and three loops (D, anti-codon, and T loops). Further hydrogen bonds mediate the characteristic L-shaped molecular structure. tRNAs have two regions of fundamental functional importance: the anti-codon, which is responsible for specific mRNA codon recognition, and the 3' end, to which the tRNAs corresponding amino acid is attached (by aminoacyl-tRNA synthetases). tRNAs cope with the degeneracy of the genetic code in two manners: having more than one tRNA (with a specific anti-codon) for a particular amino acid; and 'wobble' base-pairing, i.e. permitting non-standard base-pairing at the 3rd anti-codon position. The record is from Rfam by way of RNAcentral. Lineage: Eukaryota; Metazoa; Nematoda; Chromadorea; Rhabditida; Anisakidae.